RNAcentral lists this transfer RNA (65 nucleotides) under Lophophysema eversa. Its description in RNAcentral is "tRNA-Cys". It matches the Rfam family "tRNA". From Rfam's summary of the family: Transfer RNA (tRNA) molecules are approximately 80 nucleotides in length. The record is from RNAcentral. Lineage: Eukaryota; Metazoa; Porifera; Hexactinellida; Amphidiscosida; Hyalonematidae.
AAUGCCAUAGCAAAAUGCUAUAACUUGCAAAGUUAAAUAUGCAGGUUAAAAUCCUGUUGGCAUUU